This 506-nucleotide ribosomal RNA is filed under the name uncultured bacterium. RNAcentral describes it as "partial 16S ribosomal RNA". It matches the Rfam family "Bacterial small subunit ribosomal RNA", at positions 29 to 523 of the family's 1533-position model. The record is from RNAcentral.
AGUGAACGCUGGCGGUAGGCCUAACACAUGCAAGUCGAACGGCAGCACAGGAGAGCUUGCUCUCUGGGUGGCGAGUGGCGGACGGGUGAGGAAUACAUCGGAAUCUACUCUGUCGUGGGGGAUAACGAAGGGAAACUCACGCUAAUACCGCAUACGAACUACGGGUGAAAGCAGGGGACCUUCAGGCCUUGCGCGAUUGAAUGAUCCGAUGUCGGAUUAGCUAGUUGGCGGGGUAAAGGCCCACCAAGGCGACGAUCCGUAGCUGGUCUGAGAGGAUGAUCAGCCACACUGGAACUGAGACACGGUCCAGACUCCUACGGGAGGCAGCAGUGGGGAAUAUUGGACAAUGGGCGCAAGCCUGAUCCAGCCAUACCGCGUGGGUGAAGAAGGCCUUCGGGUUGUAAAGCCCUUUUGUUGGGAAAGAAAUCCAGCUGGCUAAUACCCGGUUGGGAUGACGGUACCCAAAGAAUAAGCACCGGCUAACUUCGUGCCAGCCGCCGCCGUAA